Molecule: ribosomal RNA, 620 nt
Filed under: uncultured bacterium
Lineage: Bacteria
Description: bacterial SSU rRNA
Rfam family: Bacterial small subunit ribosomal RNA
Source: RNAcentral
CCUACGGGAGGCAGCAGUGGGGAAUUUUGGACAAUGGGCGCAAGCCUGAUCCAGCAAUGCCGCGUGAGUGAAGAAGGCCUUCGGGUUGUAAAGCUCUUUUGUCAGGGAAGAAACGGUCUACUCUAAUACAGUGGGCUAAUGACGGUACCUGAAGAAUAAGCACCGGCUAACUACGUGCCAGCAGCCGCGGUAAUACGUAGGGUGCAAGCGUUAAUCGGAAUUACUGGGCGUAAAGCGUGCGCAGGCGGUUAUAUAAGUCAGAUGUGAAAUCCCCGGGCUCAACCUGGGAACUGCAUUUGAGACUGUAUGGCUAGAGUGUGUCAGAGGGGGGUAGAAUUCCACGUGUAGCAGUGAAAUGCGUAGAUAUGUGGAGGAAUACCGAUGGCGAAGGCAGCCCCCUGGGAUAACACUGACGCUCAUGCACGAAAGCGUGGGGAGCAAACAGGAUUAGAUACCCUGGUAGUCCACGCCCUAAACGAUGUCUACUAGUUGUCGGGACUUAAUUGUCUUGGUAACGCAGCUAACGCGUGAAGUAGACCGCCUGGGGAGUACGGUCGCAAGNUUAAAACUCAAAGGAAUUGACCGGNUGAGACGAGCGACGACGACGACGAGGGAGGAGG